Molecule: transfer RNA, 73 nt
Filed under: Stegodyphus mimosarum
Lineage: Eukaryota; Metazoa; Arthropoda; Arachnida; Araneae; Eresidae
Rfam family: tRNA
About the family: Transfer RNA (tRNA) molecules are approximately 80 nucleotides in length.
Source: Rfam by way of RNAcentral
GCGUUCGUGGUGUAGUGUUCAGAACGCUGGACGCAUAUUCCAGAGGUCCCUGGUUCGAGUCCCGGCGAAGGCG